GCGAGACUUCGUCUCAAAAAAAAAAAAUUCUUCUUCCAAGAUUCAAGUUGUGUCAUUUCACCUUAAUAACUGGAGGUUAGUUAAGCUGGGCUGUGUUCUUUGCUUAAUAUUAAGACAACGUUUUUUCCAGAUGGAAGAAAACUAUCUUAAUGAAUUGUUAGCUUAUUAAUUAUGUAAUGCUAAUGGCUUUUAAAAGCUGAGAUGUUCUGACUGGGUGUUGUGGCUCACACCUGUAAUCCCAGUACCUUGGGAGGCCAAGGGGGAAGGAUUGCUUGAGGCCAGGAGUUUGGGACCAUAGUGAGACCCCGCCUCUAUUUAAAAAAUUAAAUUUUGUUUUGUUUUGUUUUGAGUUGGAGUUUUGCUCUUGUUGCCCAUGCUGAAGUGCAAUGGUGCAAUCUCAGCUCACCACAACCUGUGCCUCCUGGGUUCAAGCGAUUCUCCUGCUUCAGCCUCCCGAGUAGAUGGGAUUACAGGCGUGCACCACCAUGCCUGGCUAAUUUUGUAUUUUUAGUAGAGACAGGGUUUCUCUAUGUUGGUCAGGCUGGUCUCAAACUCUCGACCUCAGGUGAUCUGCCCGCCUCCGCUUCCCAAAGUUCUGGGAUUAUAGGUGUGAGCCACUGGGCCUGGCCUAAGAAAGUUUUUUUAAGCCAUUAGACGUUUUUAAAGGAAUUGGGAGAUGACAAUUGGGGAAAUAUUUAAAAUUUAAGUAAAAUAUAAAGCUUCCUUAUUUCAUGUAACCCAGACAAUCUCAGUAUACAUGAUCAGUUGUGUCUGACAGGUAAAUCUAUUUGAGGCCUUAUCACACGUUACUUUUAAGAACUAGAAAGGAAAAGUCACUGAUCUUAAGUAUUUAUAAUACUUCAUGUGGUCUAAUACUUUUUACGUUUUGUUUUGAUUCAGAUUUAGUCCGGAUUCCCGGUAUCUGGCAGUAGGUUCUAGUGAGAACUCAGUGGAUUUUUAUGACCUAACGCUGGGCCCCACUCUUAACAGAAUCAGCUACUGCAAAGACAUUCCAAGCUUUGUCAUUCAAAUGGACUUCUCUGCAGAUAGCAGUUAUCUCCAGGUCUCUAGUGGCUGCUAUAAACGGCAUGUCUAUGAAGUGCCUUCAGGAAAACAUCUUAUGGAUCAUGCCGCUAUUGACAGAAUUACUUGGGCUACAUGGACUAGUAUUCUAGGAGAUGAGGUUUUGGGAAUCUGGUCCAGACAUGCUGAGAAAGCUGAUGUCAACUGUGCCUGUGUAUCUCAUUCAGGAAUCAGUCUUGUUACAGGAGAUGACUUUGGCAUGGUUAAGUUAUUUGACUUCCCAUGUCCAGAAAAAUUUGCAAAACACAAAAGGUUCUUGGGUCAUUCGCCCCAUGUGACAAAUAUUCGAUUUACCAGUGGUGAUCGACAUGUUGUUAGUGCUGGAGGUGAUGACUGCAGCUUAUUUGUCUGGAAAUGUGUACAUACACCUCACUGAGAGAUGCUGAGAUGACUACAGAAAUUAACUUUGAGACCAGAAUUACAGAGAAGAAAAACCAAAACCCAACCCUGCAUGGUCAAGUGGUGCUAACCCAAGACUGUAACAGGGAGAAAUGCCCAGAAUCAUCAAAAUAGUGAAAGACUGAUCUGUUCAAAAUAUUUGCUAUAUGCACUGGGUAUAAUCCGUAAUCCAUACACUGCCAGAUAAUGCCAUUUCAAGGAAGGAUCGAAUACUUGAUGGUAAAGGCCAAGUCCCCCUGUAUUGGGAAGUGUGUGAUUUCGGCAGACCUGCUGGGAAAAUUUAGGGUAGAGCACUCUUUACAGAAGAACUCAAAAACCCAAUUUGGAUAAUUUUCAUUAUCUUUUUAGCAAAAUGGUUUCUUAAUGUUUAUAUUUUAUUUUCAAGGUUCAUUGUUUAAUGAAAUAUUUUAUUCUUGCAUUUCCAUAAGGAAAGGGAAAGUCAUGAUCAUCCUAAAGGAUCACAGUUUUUAAAAGGCAAACAUUUUCCCUAAGGAAACAGACACAAGCUUUCCUAGAGAAUAUGAUGUUUUUUAGGCAUUAAUAAGGUCCUUUUUUAUAAAGGACACUUUUCUCCUAGUAGUUUUGAAUUCAGGAACAGAUCCAAAGUUAGCAGUAUAUGGCUGCUACAUUUCCAUUUUCAUUUUCGAGCCAUCAGUUUAUGUUCAGAUGCCAUCUCUGUAAUCGCACAUUUAAAACAUAACUGUAGCCUCACUAAUGGAAAAGUAGUAUGAUGAACAAUCAUUCCCAAUGGUGUACAAUGUAAGGGUUUUAGGGAGCAACAGUAUUUAACUGGAAGAAAGAAUUGCAUAUUUAAUGUAGUCUAAUAUAUACACAUUUGUUUAACAUGUAAACAAAAGUGUUAAAUUCACAUAUACAACAUUAUACAAUUUAAUCACUCUUGGAAUAAAAUUUUUAUAGCCUUUUUUCUAUUGGGAAAAUUUGUUUAGAUGUGUGCCACUCCAUAGGUUUAUUUCCAAAAUGAAUGAGCCCAACUCCAUUUGUAAAAACUUGUCAGUUAGAAUUCCUUUUUUUAGUGGAUUAGGGCUGAAUUCUUAGAUCCUUAUUUCUUUUCACUUUAAAUGCUGCCAAAGAUCACUACUCAUCAUUCAGGAAUUCGCUGUCUAGCCUAUCUGUAGUUUCCUGAAGAUUGAAAAUUAUGUAGACUGCUAUUUAAAAAUAUAUUUUUCUAAGUGUGAGGUUUAAGAUGCUGUAUUGACCCUAUGAGUUUUUAAUGUGUUAAUUAUCUUUAUAGCAUAAUAGAUCGCUUUAGGUUCCUGGAAUCCCAUUUGGUCUGACAGGAUAUAUGAAGAUUCUUAAUACCUAUUUUCUGUGUCUAAUACUUGGUUAAUACUAAAAAUAGAAAUGACUAAAUUACAUCACAGAAAGCAUAACCAGUGAUUGAACCUGGUAGUUUUAAAGCUCUAAAUAGCUGUGGCUGAAGGACUGAUUAUGGGGCUAAGAAGCUUGAAACGUAAGUUGGUACUUGUUCAUCAGUGGAUUCUCCUAAAUUAAGCCAAAUUUUGAAAUACAUGACUAUUAAGUUUCUACUCAUGUAUUUACAGUCAGUCAAUAAAUUAAAGGAGGAAAAAAAUCCCUGAACAACCUGCCCAUAAAAAGAAAAAUACUCUACAUUUGAGCCUGCUGCAGUUUUAAAUUUUCCCUCUGGGUCAAGUUUGCCAGCUUUUGGCUACAGAGAAAUUAUAUUUCCAUUACAGUGCAGGUAGAAACUCUGUAACCUUAAGCAUGUAAACUACAUAGAAUAAAACUGUUUCCACUGCAUUUCUGUCCUUCAAAGUGGCCAACCUGAUUAAGUCAGCCUUAAUCACUGCUGCUGUCAGUUUCACGACUAAAGGUCAUAUUGACUAAGUAGUCAUCAGCUGACCACCUCGCUGUAUCAGCCAGCAACGAGGGGAAGGUGAAGAAACAUGAUAGGCCAUAUAGAAUCUGCCCUAUGUUUACUUUUUUAACCCAGAUAAUUAUUUUUGUGUGCAGUAUCUAAGCUCCUGAUUGUGUAACCUGGGACUUCUGGCACCUUUUGUUCCAUUCAUUUUAUGUAUAAAAUGCAUGCCAAAGC
Molecule: long non-coding RNA, 3556 nt
Filed under: Homo sapiens (human)
Lineage: Eukaryota; Metazoa; Chordata; Mammalia; Primates; Hominidae
Description: non-protein coding lnc-PTPN21-1:1
Source: RNAcentral